AUGGAGAGAGUUCGUCCCCGACCGCGCCUGAGGUCUCCAACGGCAUACUGGGCGCCAUGCCGAUUGCUCCUCCGCGCAUGCCGCUGUGUUUGCCUCAGGGAAAGGAUGAAGGAGUUGAUGUUGCUUAAACAGAAGGGCACCGUGGAGGAAUACAAACAACAAUUUCAGCAGCUAGUUUACCACAUCAGGCUAUAUGAACCCACCAUCAGCAGUACUUUCCUAGUUACUAGGUUUGUGAUGGGUUUGAAAGAGGAGUUGCGUUCAGCAGUGGAGAUGCAACUUCCGGCAACUGUUCAGUUAGCUGCCAUGUAUGCUGCAGUGCAGGAAGGACUGUUGGAACAGCAGAAAAACUUCAAGCCCACUUAUCAGAAACACACAGUUUCCAGGACAGAUGCAAAGCAGAGUUUCGUUCCUGGAGAGCUAUGGAAGGCCAAAUAA
RNAcentral lists this ribosomal RNA (438 nucleotides) under Triticum aestivum (bread wheat). Its description in RNAcentral is "partial small subunit ribosomal RNA". Lineage: Eukaryota; Viridiplantae; Streptophyta; Magnoliopsida; Poales; Poaceae. The record is from RNAcentral.